This 497-nucleotide ribosomal RNA is filed under the name uncultured bacterium. RNAcentral's name for it is "partial 16S ribosomal RNA". It matches the Rfam family "Bacterial small subunit ribosomal RNA", at positions 28 to 507 of the family's 1533-position model. The record is from RNAcentral.
GACGAACGCUGGCGGCGUGCCUAAUACAUGCAAGUAGAACGCUGAAGAGAGGAGCUUACUCUUCUUGGAUGAGUUGCGAACGGGUGAGUAACGCGUAGGUAACCUGCCUUGUAGCGGGGGAUAACUAUUGGAAACGAUAGCUAAUACCGCAUAACAAUGGAUGGCACAUGUCAUUUAUUUGAAAGGGGCAAUUGCUCCACUACAAGAUGGACCUGCGUUGUAUUAGCUAGUAGGUGAGGUAAUGGCUCACCUAGGCGACGAUACAUAGCCGACCUGAGAGGGUGAUCGGCCACACUGGGACUGAGACACGGCCCAGAAUCCUACGGGAGGCAGCAGUAGGGAAUCUUCGGCAAUGGGGGCAACCCUGACCGAGCAACGCCGCGUGAGUGAAGAAGGUUUUCGGAUCGUAAAGCUCUGUUGUAAGUCAAGAACGGGUGUGAGAGUGGAAAGUUCACACUGUGACGGUAGCUUACCAGAAAGAGACGGCUAACUACGUG